GCGCGGCAGGACGGAAAGACCCCGGGACCUUUACUAUAGUUUGGUAUUGGUUUUCGGUUCGGCUUGUGUAGGAUAGGUGGGAGACUGUGAAGCGGUGACGCUAGUUACUGUGGAGUCGUUGUUGAAAUACCACUCUGGUCGAAUUGGGAAUCUGAACCUCGGGCCAUGAUCUGGUUCAGGGACAGUGCCUGAUGGGUAGUUU
This 202-nucleotide ribosomal RNA is filed under the name Amycolatopsis eburnea. Its description in RNAcentral is "Amycolatopsis sp. GLM-1 partial 23S ribosomal RNA". It matches the Rfam family "Bacterial large subunit ribosomal RNA", at positions 2071 to 2271 of the family's 2925-position model. Lineage: Bacteria; Bacillati; Actinomycetota; Actinomycetes; Pseudonocardiales; Pseudonocardiaceae. The record is from RNAcentral.